Molecule: ribosomal RNA, 2921 nt
Filed under: Lactiplantibacillus plantarum
Lineage: Bacteria; Bacillati; Bacillota; Bacilli; Lactobacillales; Lactobacillaceae
Description: 23S ribosomal RNA
Rfam family: Bacterial large subunit ribosomal RNA
Source: RNAcentral
GGUUAAGUUAACAAGGGCGCAUGGUGAAUGCCUUGGCACUAGGAGCCGAUGAAGGACGGGACUAACACCGAUAUGCUUCGGGGAGCUGUACGUAAGCUAUGAUCCGGAGAUUUCCGAAUGGGGCAACCCAGCAGUUUUAAUCAACUGUUACCACUAGAUGAAUUCAUAGUCUAGUUGGAGGUAAACGCUGUGAACUGAAACAUCUCAUUAGCAGCAGGAAUAUAAAGAAAUUUCGAUUCCCUAAGUAGCGGCGAGCGAACGGGGAACAGCCCAAACCAAAGUGCUUGCACUUUGGGGUUGUAGGACUGAACAUUUGAGUUACCAAAGAACUUGAUAGUCGAAGGAUUUGGGAAAAUCCGCCAUAGAUGGUGAUAGCCCAGUAGAUUAAAUCAAAUUCUCUCAGUUCAGGAUCCUGAGUACGGCGGAACACGUGAAAUUCCGUCGGAAUCCGGGAGGACCAUCUCCCAAGGCUAAAUACUACCUAGUGACCGAUAGUGAACCAGUACCGUGAGGGAAAGGUGAAAAGCACCCCGGGAGGGGAGUGAAAUAGUUCCUGAAACCAUGUGCCUACAAUAAGUCAGAGCGCGUUAAUGCGUGAUGGCGUGCCUUUUGUAGAAUGAACCGGCGAGUUAUGAUCCCGUGCAAGGUUAAGACUAAAAAGUCGGAGCCGUAGCGAAAGCGAGUCUGAAAUGGGCGUUUUGAGUACGAGGUUAUAGACCCGAAACCAGGUGACCUAUCCAUGUCCAGGUUGAAGGUGCGGUAAAACGCACUGGAGGACCGAACCCGUGUAAGUUGAAAAUUGCUGGGAUGAGGUGUGGAUAGCGGUGAAAUUCCAAACGAACUUGGAGAUAGCUGGUUCUCUCCGAAAUAGCUUUAGGGCUAGCCUCGGAAUUAGGAUCAUGGAGGUAGAGCACUAUUUGGACUAGGGGCCCGUCUUGGGUUACUGAAUUCAGAUAAACUCCGAAUGCCAUUGAUUCAUAUCCGGGAGUCAGACGAUGAGUGAUAAGAUCCACCGUCGAAAGGGGAACAGCCCAGACCAUCAGUUAAGGUCCCUAAAUGUAUGCUAAGUGGAAAAGGAUGUGGAGUUGCAUAGACAACUAGGAUGUUGGCUCAGAAGCAGCCACCAUUUAAAGAGUGCGUAAUAGCUCACUAGUCGAGUGAUCCUGCGCCGAAAAUGUACCGGGGCUAAGCAUACUACCGAAACCAUGGAUGCGACCAUUAGGUCGCGUGAUAGGAGAGCGUUCUAAGGGCGGUGAAGCAAGAUCGUGAGGACUUGUGGAGCGCUUAGAAGUGAGAAUGCCGGUAUGAGUAGCGAAAGAUAGGUGAGAAUCCUAUCCACCGAAUGACUAAGGUUUCCUGGGGAAGGCUCGUCCUCCCAGGGUUAGUCGGGACCUAAGUCGAGGCCGAGAGGCGUAGACGAUGGAUAACAGGUUGAGAUUCCUGUACUAGUUAAGUGCGUUUGAGCAAUGGAGGGACGCAGGAGGCUAAGAUGUGCAUUCUGUUGGAUUAGAAUGUCCAAGCAGUAAGUCUUGUGAAGAGUCAAAUGCUUUUCACUUUAAGGACAAGCUGUGAUGGGGAGCGAAAUUUAGUAGCGAAGCGUCUGAUGUCACACUGCCGAGAAAAGCUUCUAGUGAGUACUUAACUACCCGUACCGUAAACCGACACAGGUAGUCGAGGAGAGAAUCCUAAGGUGAGCGAGUGAACUCUCGUUAAGGAACUCGGCAAAAUGACCCCGUAACUUCGGGAGAAGGGGUGCUGAUCGCAAGAUCAGCCGCAGUGAAUAGGCCCAGGCGACUGUUUAUCAAAAACACAGGUCUCUGCAAAAUCGUAAGAUGACGUAUAGGGGCUGACGCCUGCCCGGUGCUGGAAGGUUAAAAGGAUGGGUUAGCUUCGGCGAAGCUCAGAAUUGAAGCCCCAGUAAACGGCGGCCGUAACUAUAACGGUCCUAAGGUAGCGAAAUUCCUUGUCGGGUAAGUUCCGACCCGCACGAAAGGCGUAACGAUCUGGGCACUGUCUCAACGAGAGACUCGGUGAAAUUAUAUUGUCCGUGAAGAUGCGGACUACCCGCGACAGGACGGAAAGACCCCAUGGAGCUUUACUGUAGCUUGAUAUUGAGUGUUUGUACAGCUUGUACAGGAUAGGUAGGAGCCAUAGAAACCGGAACGCUAGUUUCGGUGGAGGCGUUGGUGGGAUACUACCCUCGCUGUAUGACCACUCUAACCCGCACCACUAAUCGUGGUGGGAGACAGUGUCAGGUGGGCAGUUUGACUGGGGCGGUCGCCUCCUAAAAAGUAACGGAGGCGCCCAAAGGUUCCCUCAGAAUGGUUGGAAAUCAUUCGCAGAGUGUAAAGGCACAAGGGAGCUUGACUGCGAGACAGACAGGUCGAGCAGGGACGAAAGUCGGGCUUAGUGAUCCGGUGGUACCGUAUGGAAGGGCCAUCGCUCAACGGAUAAAAGCUACCCUGGGGAUAACAGGCUUAUCUCCCCCAAGAGUCCACAUCGACGGGGAGGUUUGGCACCUCGAUGUCGGCUCAUCGCAUCCUGGGGCUGUAGUCGGUCCCAAGGGUUGGGCUGUUCGCCCAUUAAAGCGGUACGCGAGCUGGGUUCAGAACGUCGUGAGACAGUUCGGUCCCUAUCCGUCGCGGGCGUAGGAAAUUUGAGAGGACCUGUCCUUAGUACGAGAGGACCGGGAUGGACAUACCUCUGGUGUACCAGUUGUGCCGCCAGGCGCAUCGCUGGGUAGCUACGUAUGGAUGUGAUAAACGCUGAAAGCAUCUAAGUGUGAAACACACCUCGAGAUGAGAUUUCCCAUUCCUUUAUGGAAGUAAGACCCCUGAAAGAUGAUCAGGUAGAUAGGUUAGAAGUGGCAGUGCGGUGACGCAUGAAGCGGACUAAUACUAAUCGGUCGAGGACUUAACCAA